GACGAACGCUGGCGGCGUGCUUAACACAUGCAAGUCGAACGGAAAGGCCUCUUUCGGGGGGUACUCGAGUGGCGAACGGGUGAGUAACACGUGAGUAACCUGCCCUUGACUUUGGGAUAACUUCAGGAAACUGGGGCUAAUACCGGAUAGGAGCUCCUGCUGCAUGGUGGGGGUUGGAAAGUUUCGGCGGUUGGGGAUGGAAUCGCGGCUUAUCAGCUUGUUGGUGGGGUAGUGGCUUACCAAGGCUUUGACGGGUAGCCGGCCUGAGAGGGUGACCGGCCACAGUGGGACUGAGAUACGGCCCAGACUCCUACGGGAGGCAGCAGUGGGGAAUAUUGCACAAUGGGUGGAAGCCUGAUGCAGCAACGCCGUGUGCGGGAUGACGGCCUUCGGGUUGUAAACCGCUUUCGCUCAUGACGAAGCUUUGUGUGACGGUAGUGGGUAAAGAAGCACCGGCUAACUACGUG
Molecule: ribosomal RNA, 467 nt
Filed under: uncultured bacterium
Lineage: Bacteria
Description: partial 16S ribosomal RNA
Rfam family: Bacterial small subunit ribosomal RNA
Source: RNAcentral